CCUACGGGGGGCUGCAGUGGGGAAUAUUGGACAAUGGGCGAAAGCCUGAUCCAGCCAUGCCGCGUGUGUGAAGAAGGCCUUCGGGUUGUAAAGCACUUUCAGUGGGGAAGAAAGCCUUGGGGCUAAUACCCUCGAGGAAGGACAUCACCCACAGAAGAAGCACCGGCUAACUCCGUGCCAGCAGCCGCGGUAAUACGGAGGGUGCGAGCGUUAAGCGGAAUUACUGGGCGUAAAGCGCGCGUAGGCGGUCUGAUAAGCCGGUUGUGAAAGCCCUGGGCUCAACCUGGGAACGGCAUCCGGAACUGUCAGGCUAGAGUGCAGGAGAGGAAGGUAGAAUUCCCGGUGUAGCGGUGAAAUGCGUAGAGAUCGGGAGGAAUACCAGUGGCGAAGGCGGCCUUCUGGACUGACACUGACGCUGAGGUGCGAAAGCGUGGGUAGCAAACAGGAUUAGAUACCCCUGUAGUC
This 465-nucleotide ribosomal RNA is filed under the name Vreelandella stevensii. RNAcentral's name for it is "partial 16S ribosomal RNA". It matches the Rfam family "Bacterial small subunit ribosomal RNA", at positions 338 to 795 of the family's 1533-position model. Lineage: Bacteria; Pseudomonadati; Pseudomonadota; Gammaproteobacteria; Oceanospirillales; Halomonadaceae. The record is from RNAcentral.